UACGAAGGGAGCUAGCGUUGUUCGGAAUCACUGGGCGUAAAGCGCACGUAGGCGGAUGUGUCAGUCAGGGGUGAAAUCCCGGAGCUCAACUUCGGAACUGCCUUUGAUACAGCACAUCUGGAGUCCGGAAGAGGUGGGUGGAAUUCCUAGUGUAGAGGUGAAAUUCGUAGAUAUUCGGAAGAACACCAGUGGCGAAGGCGACUUACUGGACACAUAUUGACGCUGAGGUGCGAAAGCGUGGGGAGCAAACAGG
RNAcentral lists this ribosomal RNA (253 nucleotides) under uncultured bacterium. Its description in RNAcentral is "partial 16S ribosomal RNA". It matches the Rfam family "Bacterial small subunit ribosomal RNA", at positions 524 to 776 of the family's 1533-position model. The record is from RNAcentral.